Molecule: ribosomal RNA, 497 nt
Filed under: uncultured bacterium
Lineage: Bacteria
Description: partial 16S ribosomal RNA
Rfam family: Bacterial small subunit ribosomal RNA
Source: RNAcentral
GACGAACGCUGGCGGCGUGCCUAAUACAUGCAAGUUGAGCGCUGAAGGUUGGUACUUGUACCAACUGGAUGAGCAGCGAACGGGUGAGUAACGCGUGGGGAAUCUGCCUUUGAGCGGGGGACAACAUUUGGAAACGAAUGCUAAUACCGCAUAAAAACUUUAAACACAAGUUUUAAGUUUGAAAGAUGCAAUUGCAUCACUCAAAGAUGAUCCCGCGUUGUAUUAGCUAGUUGGUGAGGUAAAGGCUCACCAAGGCGAUGAUACAUAGCCGACCUGAGAGGGUGAUCGGCCACAUUAGGACUGAGACACGGCCCAAACUCAUACGGGAGGCAGCAGUAGGGAAUCUUCGGCUAUGGACGAAAGUCUGACCGAGCAACGCCGCGUGAGUGAAGAAGGUUUUCGGAUCGUAAAACUAUGUUGGUAGAGAAGAACGUUGGUGAGAGUGGAAAGCUCAUCAAGUGACGGUAACUACCCAGAAAGGGACGGCUAACUACGUG